Molecule: ribosomal RNA, 484 nt
Filed under: uncultured bacterium
Lineage: Bacteria
Description: partial 16S ribosomal RNA
Rfam family: Bacterial small subunit ribosomal RNA
Source: RNAcentral
ACUCAAAUGAAUUGACGGGGGAGCGCACAACCAGUGGAGCAUGUGGUUUAAUUCGAGACGAAGCGAAGACCUUACCUAGGUUUGACAUGUACCUGCAAGCUUGCGGAAACGCAGGCCGCCUUCGAGGGUGGUACACAGGUGAUGCAUGGCUGUCGUCAGCUCGUGGCGUGAGCCGUCUGCUUAAGUGCAGCAACGAGCGCAACCCCUGUCGCGUGUUACAUAUCACGCGAGACUGCCUAUCUUCAAGAUGGGAGGAAGGAGGGGACGACGUCAAGUCAGCACGUCCCUUACAUCUAGGGCCACACACAUCCUACAAUGGCGUUGACAACGGGUCGCGACGGGGUAACCCUGAGCUAAUCCUUAUAAACGACGCCUCAGUUCAGAUUGCGGGCUGAAACUCGCCCGCAUGAAGUCGGAAUUGGUAGUAAUCGCAAAUCAGAAGGUUGCGGUGAAUACGUUCUCGCUCCUUGUACACACCGCCCGU